GACGAACGCUGGCGGCGUGCUUAACACAUGCAAGUCGAACGGAAAGGCCCUGCUUUUGUGGGGUGCUCGAGUGGCGAACGGGUGAGUAACACGUGAGUAGCCUGCCCUUGACUUUGGGAUAACUUCAGGAAACUGUGGCUAAUACCGGAUAGGAGCUCCUGCUGCAUGGUGGGGGUUGGAAAGUUUCGUCGGUUGGGGAUGGACUCGCGGCUUAUCAGCUUGUUGGUGGGGUAGUGGCUUACCAAGGCUUUGACGGGUAGCCGGCCUGAGAGGGUGACCGGCCACAUUGGGACUGAGAUACGGCCCAGACUCAUACGGGAGGCAGGAGUGGGGAAUAUUGAACAAUGGGCGGAAGCAUGAUGCAGGAACGCCGCGUGCGGGAUGACGGCAUUCGGGUUGUAAACCGCCUUCGCCUGUGACGAAGCGUGAGUGACGGUAAUGGGUAAAGAAGCACCGGCUAACUACGUG
This 468-nucleotide ribosomal RNA is filed under the name uncultured bacterium. RNAcentral's name for it is "partial 16S ribosomal RNA". It matches the Rfam family "Bacterial small subunit ribosomal RNA", at positions 28 to 507 of the family's 1533-position model. The record is from RNAcentral.